Non-coding RNA from Pelobates cultripes (western spadefoot toad), 163 nucleotides. Lineage: Eukaryota; Metazoa; Chordata; Amphibia; Anura; Pelobatidae. The record is from the annotation of a GenBank genome assembly.
ACACAUUCCAGCCAAUCAGCAGCAGACCCUCCCUCCCAGACCCUCCCACCUCCUGGACAGCAUCCAUUUUACAUUCAUUGUGAAGCUGCAUUCUUAGUGAGCUGUCCAGGAGGUGGGAGGGUUUUGGAGGGAGGGUCUGCUGCUGAUUGGCUGGAAUGUGUCU